GAAGCACACCAACAAUAAGAAAACAUAUAGCCACUGUUUAGUUCAGCUUCUGGGCUGCUUCUGGCCGCCAGAAGCAGAAGUGGCUCCUAAACGCCUAGCUUUUGGGGCAGCUUUUCGGCGCCGCGCUUCGCUCAGAAGCCGCCCGCCUACAGGAAACCAAAAGCCGCCCGCAGUUAGUGUCCGCUGGAAGCCGGGGUCAUUUCGCUAAGGUUCGACCGCGCGGCGCCGCAGCUCUCUCCCCUCGCAACUCCCGCCGUCGCCGCCGCCGCAGCGGGACGCGGGCCUCGUCCGCAGUCCCUCUGCUUCAUCCGCCGCCUUCCUCGUCGUCUUCGCAGGGUUUUGACCGCGCCGCCGCAACUCCGUCGCCACAUUCUGCAGGCAUCGUCAAGGUUGGACUCCUCCCCCAUCGCAUCGUCGUCUUCGCAGAUUUCGGCGACUAAUCUGGUAGUUCCUGUUGCGUCCGAAGAUCCAGUGGUACCAAGAUGGAUUCAGUAGACUCCAUAGCCGACAAGGCAAUUGGAAGGAUGCAAGAGAUUGCGGACAAGAUAUUUUCCGUGGCGAGGGAAACAAUCCGUCCUGGACGCGGGUUGCCCUCAUUUGACGCUACCAAACUUCGUGUAGCAUUGGAGGACAUUGCUUGCAUGCUGGAGCAAGACUCUCUGGUGUUACAAGAGUAUUUGGACAAGGUCAACAAUGUUAACAACCAACCUGACACCAACUACGAACCCUCAGACUUGUCCUCACCACCCCCUGGUGAAGAAGACCUAAGUGAAGACUGGGACUUUGCCGAGCACUUCGAAAAGUUUUGGGGUGUUGAAUAUGACUCAGAUCAGAUGCCUUCCUUUAGUGACAACGAGGUUUGAGGUAGUACGUGGUAAACAUGUUAGGGUACAGGGUUUAGGGUUAGUUCAAUAGGAACAGACUUUUGGUUAGUGCGCAGGUGUAAUCUGUUCCAUGUGUUUUGUGUCCAUGAACAAGUGGAUUAAUUUGCAGUGUGGUAUGUCUAUGUAAUAAGUCCAACCUGAAUGUUACCACUUGUGCUACUAGAAAUGGUAUUAUGGUACCAUAAUUGUGUUCUUUUUAUUUGGUUCU
Zea mays is the source of this 1092-nucleotide long non-coding RNA. RefSeq lists it as uncharacterized. The record is from RefSeq and is a predicted model, not a curated record. Lineage: Eukaryota; Viridiplantae; Streptophyta; Magnoliopsida; Poales; Poaceae. The transcript is spliced from 4 exons.